UACGGGGGGGGCAAGCGUUGUUCGGAAUUACUGGGCGUAAAGGGCUCGUAGGCGGCCAACUAAGUCAGACGUGAAAUCCCCAGGCUCAACCUGGGAACUGCGUCUGAUACUGGUUGGCUUGAAUCCGGGAGAGGGAUGCAGAAUUCCAGGUGUAGCGGUGAAAUGCGUAGAUAUCUGGAGGAAUACCGGUGGCGAAGGCGGUUCUCUGGGCAUGACCUGACGCUGAGGAGCGAAAGUGUGGGGAGCGAACAGG
RNAcentral lists this ribosomal RNA (253 nucleotides) under uncultured bacterium. Its description in RNAcentral is "partial 16S ribosomal RNA". It matches the Rfam family "Bacterial small subunit ribosomal RNA", at positions 524 to 776 of the family's 1533-position model. The record is from RNAcentral.